This 2084-nucleotide long non-coding RNA is filed under the name Lathyrus oleraceus (garden pea). RNAcentral describes it as "Pisum sativum (pea) long non-coding RNA (PSAT_LNC000577)". Lineage: Eukaryota; Viridiplantae; Streptophyta; Magnoliopsida; Fabales; Fabaceae. The record is from RNAcentral.
UCAAAAUGGUGUCAAACGAAAAUAAGGGCGCAAGGCCCAUAUGCAAAUGCCUCGCCGAGGAAGGGCGUGUGUAAGUGAUAUAAUGGUGUAAACCUGAAAAGUGCAUGGGAUUAAGGGGAUUAUUGUCCCAAUGCGCUAUAUGGAGGAGUUAGGAGAAAUUUUCAUAACAAUGGAAUUCAAAAGUGAAAAUCGAAAGUGAAAUAUUGCACGCCAUGAGGUCAAACACAAUUAAACUCUUCAGACCUCACACCACAUUCCUCCACCGUGCUGGAGGUCGCCUUUGGCGGCGGUGGAAGCACAGAAUAGAAAUUCUCAUCACCAAUAUCUUAGCCCUUACAUGUUUUCUCUACAUAUCAUGUCAAUUUACCUUAAUUUUUAUUCUAAAGCUCGAACCAAAACAAGGUCAUGAAGAACCCUAAACGACAAAACAAAAAUUAAAUGGCCACCCCUGGGAAUUAGAGCCCAAGAUGUUAGGGCUUUAAUUCCCCACAUCUCCACUCACAUGUCCAUACCUUAAUUGGAGAAAGAAGAUAAAAUUCAAGCUUACCUUCUCCAGAGAAGAUGAUAACAACAACGAGGCUUCCGGUAAGUUCUUAACUCCGUAACUCUUUUUGUUUCUGCAUUUGAUUGAUCCUCUUCUUCUCCUUAUUUUUUCUGGUGUUUAAUUUUGUUCCAAGUCGAGUCAUGUUUGAUGUUGAUAUGAGUUGAUGAACAAAUUAUGAUUGAGUUUGAUCAAUUGAGAGUGAGGUUGAUUUAUGAAGUUGAGUGAUGAAUGAUUGUGAGAUUGAUGAUGAAUGUGAUGAUCCUCGAGUCUCAGCAGAGAUGAUGAAUUUGGUGAAGAAAAAUGGGAAAUAAGAGAGAGUUUGAGAGCUUACUCAAUGAUGAUGAAUUCAAGAAAAUGGAAGGGUGAAUGGGGAUAGAGGGUCAGAGAGUUUUUUAUGGUGAAUGGGAUAUGAGUGAGCGCUAGGUUGAUGCAGUUGAUGAAUGAUUAGGUUAUAUAAAUGGUUAUUCAGUUGCUUAGGUGGUUGGAAUUUUGCAAUUGAAUUUUGUUAGGUUGUUGAAGGUAGUUGAUGUAAUUAAAGUCAGUUGGGAAUUGGUUUUUGUUAGUGAACUAAAUUUAGUUUUGAGUUGAGAAAUUAGUUAGCUAUUAAUUGGUUGACUGAUAGUUAGCAAUUAUGUUUCAGGUUGGUUAGGGAAUAUGGUGUGAAGGUUAGAUGGUCUUAUGAAGUGAUAGUUUUUUUGAUGAAUUUAUGUUAAUUCACUGUUAUUUGGGUUAGUUAUGAAUCGGGCCCUGUUAGUCAUGUAUGUGAUUGUUCAGUUAUGGUGUGGAAUGCAUAGAUGUUGUUGUUGAUGAUUGUUAAAUGUUAUUCCAUGUUGAUAUUGUAUGGUUAUGAGGCAUUAUAAAUGUGAUAUGUUAUCUGCUUGUUAAUCAUCACAAUUAGUAUUGAUUGAAUAACCAUGUGAGUGUAUGUCUUGCUGCAGGCCUGUUCUGAAGUUUGCAUUGUGGCCGCUUGUGAAUGAGUUGUUAUGUUUUAUAGUGAAAAUGACAUGAUGCUUUUCCUAUGUUAUUGUGUGUAUGUGAAUGAAUGUAUGUGGGAUACAAUGAAUGUUUUUGGAUGUAGGCUAGGGCUGUUAGAAAUGUAUCGUUUAUGGCUAAUGCAUUGGUGUGAACAAAUUGGUUUGGUUAUUUUUUGUUGGAUAUGCAAACAUGAAAUGAUGGAAUCAAGGCAUGACAUGUACUUGAAGAAAGAUGGUGAAUAUUUGGAUUAUGGAAAGAUCAAGUGGAAUUAUUAAGUGAAGGUCGUGGGUUUAGGAUGGUCAGAGUUGGUUAUUUGACUUUGGUCAACUUGUUGACCAAAAGGUCAAUAGUUGACCAAAAGUCAACUUAGGUAGAAAAGUUAAUUUUCUUGUAAUCUCUCAUGUAUGGAUAAUUGUGAUGUAUGUUUGUAUGAAUGUAAUGAGAUUUUGAAAUGAACAUGACUUUGGGGAACUACUUUGAAUGGAUCACGAAAUGAAUUUGUGUUUAAUGGAAUGGAUUUGAGUGAACAAUGACUUAAUAGAAUGAAUGAAAUGGACUUUGAAUA